This 775-nucleotide ribosomal RNA is filed under the name uncultured Neocallimastigales. RNAcentral's name for it is "partial large subunit ribosomal RNA". It matches the Rfam family "Eukaryotic large subunit ribosomal RNA", at positions 24 to 642 of the family's 3401-position model. The record is from RNAcentral. Lineage: Eukaryota; Fungi; Neocallimastigomycota; Neocallimastigomycetes; Neocallimastigales.
UAUCUCUGUAGAGUCUGCAUAUCAAUAAGCGGAGGAAAAGAAACUAACAAGGAUUCCCCUAGUAACGGCGAGUGAAGCGGGAAGAGCUCAAAUUUGAAAUCUUCAAGGUUUGACCUUGACGAAUUGUAGUUUAAAGAAGUGUUUUCGGUUAGAGGAGUAGUAAAAGUUCUUUGGAAUAGGACAUCAUAGAGGGUGAGAAUCCCGUAUUUGACUAUUCUUUCUAGCUUUGUGAUACACUUUCAAAGAGUCAGGAUUGUUUGGGAAUGCAGUCCAAAAUGGGUGGUAAAUUCCAUCUAAAGCUAAAUAUUGGCGAGAGACCGAUAGCGAACAAGUACCGUGAGGGAAAGAUGAAAAGAACUUUGAAAAGAGAGUUAAACAGUACGUGAAAUUGUCAAAAGGGAAGCGUUUGACACCAGUGUUGUUUUUCCGAAAAUCAAUUAAAAAUUGAUUCAUGCCAGGUUGUAUUGACCUUAUCAGCUUGCAAUCUGGUUUUGGGUCUCUUUUUGAUGCACUUUUCGGUUAACAAGUCAACAUCAAUUUCCUUUGCUGUAAAAAGGUAAGAGGAAGGUGGCUUCAAUUUCGGUUGAAGUGUUUAUAGCCUUUUAUCUCUGCAGUCGGGGAGAUUGAGGUCUGCAGCGUAGAUCCUUCGGGGCUAGAUACAUUUAUGCUAAGUUAUAGCUUUUCAUAGACAACUUGUUGACUAUGUUUAGUCAUGUAGCUUACUCGUAAGUGCUAUUUUACCUACGCUUAGGAUGUUGAGCGCAUGUCUCUCUCU